RNAcentral lists this ribosomal RNA (483 nucleotides) under uncultured bacterium. RNAcentral's name for it is "SSU rRNA". It matches the Rfam family "Bacterial small subunit ribosomal RNA", at positions 26 to 518 of the family's 1533-position model. The record is from RNAcentral.
AGGAUAAACGCUGGCGGCGUGCCUAACACAUGCAAGUCGAACGCGCUUGCUAUCCGCGAGGAGGGUGAGCGAGUGGCGGACGGGUGAGGAACACGUGGGUGACCUACCUUUCAGUGAGGGAUACCGGCGAGAAAUUGCCGACAAGACCGCAUACGCUUCUCUUUUCAAGGGGAGAAGGAAAGCUUUUCGCAAGAGAGGCGCUGGGAGAUGGGCCUGCGGCCGAUUAGCUAGCUGGUGGGGUAAUGGCCUACCAGGGCGACGAUCGGUAGCUGGUCUGAGAGGACGAUCAGCCACACUGGGAUUGAGAACGGCCCAGACUCCUACGGGGGGCAGCAGUGAGGAAUUUUCGGCAAUGGGGGCAACCCUGACCGAGCAACGCCGCGUGCAGGACGACGGCCUUCGGGUUGUAAACUGCUUUUCUCUGGGACGAGCAAGGACGGUACCAGAGGAAGAAGCCCCGGCUAACUACGUGCCAGCAGCCGC